UGUUGAAACAACAGUUCCCAUACAAUCACUGAAGUUAAGCAAUGAUGAGCCUGAUCAGUACCUAGAUGGUUGACUAUGUGGGAAUAUCAGGUGUUGAAA
Non-coding RNA from Acanthosepion pharaonis, 99 nucleotides. The record is from the annotation of a GenBank genome assembly. NCBI's taxonomy places the organism in Eukaryota, Metazoa, Mollusca, Cephalopoda, Sepiida, Sepiidae.